CUUAGAUCGCACUUACUACUUGGAUAACUGUGGUAAUUCUAGAGCUAAUACAUGCGUUGGACUCCAAACUUUACGGUGAGGAGUGCUUUUAUUAGAUCAAAGCCAAUCGGGUCUUCGGAUUCGUUUACUUGGUGACUCUGAAUAACUUUGCUGAUCGCACGGUCUUGCACCGGCGACGUAUCUUUCAAGUGUCUGCCUUAUCAACUGUCGAUGGUAGGUUAUGCGCCUACCAUGGUUGUAACGGGUAACGGGGAAUUAGGGUUCGAUUCCGGAGAGGGAGCCUGCGAAACGGCUACCACACCUAAGGGAGGCAGCAGGCGCGCAAAUUACCCACUCCCGGCACGGGGAGGUAGUGACGAAAAAUAACGAUACGGAACUCAUACGAGGCUCCGUAAUCGGAAUGAGUACACUUUAAAUCCUUUAACGAGGAUCUAUUGGAGGGCAAGUCUGGUGCCAGCAGCCGCGGUAAUUCCAGCUCCAAUAGCGUAUAUUAAAGUUGUUGUGGUUAAAAAGCUCGUAGUUGGAUCUCGGUUUCGGGUGGAUGGUGCAUCUUGCGGUGUUUACUAUCUACUCGGACGAUUUUGUUGGUUCGUUCCUGGUUCUCUUAAUCGAGUGCCUUGAGUGGCCAGCACGUUUACUUUGAAAAAAUUGGAGUGCUCAAAGCAGGCGCUACAGCCUGAACAUUAGUGCAUGGAAUAAUGGAAUAGGAUCUCGGUUCUAUUUCGUUGGCUUUCGGAGUCGAGGUAAUGAUUAAUAGGGACAGACGGGGGCAUUCGUACUGCGACGUUAGAGGUGAAAUUCUUGGAUCGUCGCAAGACGAACUACUGCGAAAGCAUUUGCCAAGAAUGUUUUCAUUAAUCAGGAACGAAAGUUAGAGGUUCGAAGGCGAUCAGAUACCGCCCUAGUUCUAACCAUAAACGAUGUCGACCGGCAAUCUGCUCUCGUUAAAUUAAUGACUGAGCAGGCGGCCUGCUGGAAACAAGAGUAUUUGGAUUCCAGGGGGAGUAUGGUUGCAAAGCUGAAACUUAAAAGAAUUGACGGAAGGGCACCACCAGGAGUGGAGCCUGCGGCUUAAUUUGACCCAACACGGGAAAUCUCACCAGGCCCGGACACCGGAAGGAUUGACAGAUUGAGAGCUCUUUCUUGAUUCGGUGGGUGGUGGUGCAUGGCCGUUCUUAGUUGGUGGAGCGAUUUGUCUGGUUAAUUCCGAUAACGAACGAGACUCUGGCCUACUAAAUAGACGUCAGAUCAUUC
RNAcentral lists this ribosomal RNA (1254 nucleotides) under metagenome. RNAcentral describes it as "SSU rRNA". It matches the Rfam family "Eukaryotic small subunit ribosomal RNA", at positions 119 to 1372 of the family's 1831-position model. The record is from RNAcentral.